Molecule: ribosomal RNA, 480 nt
Filed under: uncultured bacterium
Lineage: Bacteria
Description: bacterial SSU rRNA
Rfam family: Bacterial small subunit ribosomal RNA
Source: RNAcentral
GAUGAACGCUGGCGGCGUGCCUAACACAUGCAAGUCGAACGGGGUAAUUUCUUCGGAGAUUACUUAGUGGCGAACGGGUGAGUAACGCGUGAGAAACCUGCCUUUCAGUGGGGGACAACAGUUGGAAACGACUGCUAAUACCGCACAAUGUUAUUUGGGGCAUCCCCGAAUAACCAAAGCUUUAUGUGCUGAAAGAUGGUCUCGCGUCUGAUUAGCUAGUUGGUGAGGUAACGGCUCACCAAGGCGACGAUCAGUAGCCGGUCUGAGAGGAUGAACGGCCACAUUGGGACUGAGAUACGGCCCAGACUCCUACGGGAGGCAGCAGUGGGGAAUAUUGGGCAAUGGGGGAAACCCUGACCCAGCAACGCCGCGUGAAGGAAGAAGGCCUUCGGGUUGUAAACUUCUUUAGUCAGGGACGAAGAACGUGACGGUACCUGCAGAAAAGACAACGGACGUAACUACGUAGCCAGCAGCCGCGGU